This 296-nucleotide signal recognition particle RNA is filed under the name Cavia aperea (Brazilian guinea pig). RNAcentral's name for it is "Metazoan signal recognition particle RNA (ENSCAPG00000001538.1)". It matches the Rfam family "Metazoan signal recognition particle RNA". Rfam says of the family: The signal recognition particle (SRP) is a universally conserved ribonucleoprotein. It is involved in the co-translational targeting of proteins to membranes. Lineage: Eukaryota; Metazoa; Chordata; Mammalia; Rodentia; Caviidae. The record is from RNAcentral.
GCCCUGCGCGGUGGCGCGCGCCUGUAGUCCCAGCUACUCGGGAGGCUGAGGUGGGAGGAUCGCUUGAGUCCAGGAGUUCUGGGCUGCAGUGCGCUAUGCCGAUGUGUCCGCACUAAGUUCGGCAUUAAUAUAGUGACCUCCCGGGAGCGAGGGAUCACCAGGUUGCCUAAGGAGGGGUGAACCGGCCCAGGUCGGAAACGGAGCAGGUCAAAACUCCCGUGCUGAUCAGUAGUGGGAUCGGGCCUGUGAAUAGCCACUGCACUCCAGCCUGGGCAAUAUAGUGAGACCCUGUCUCU